Molecule: ribosomal RNA, 466 nt
Filed under: uncultured bacterium
Lineage: Bacteria
Description: partial 16S ribosomal RNA
Rfam family: Bacterial small subunit ribosomal RNA
Source: RNAcentral
GACGAACGCUGGCGGUGUGCUUAACACAUGCAAGUCGAACGGUAAGGCCCUUUCGGGGGUGCACGAGUGGCGAACGGGUGAGUAACACGCGAGUAACCUGCCCUCAUCUCUGGGAUAACAGUCGGAAACGGUUGCUAAUACUGGAUAUGAGCUUGCAAGGCAUCUUGUGGGUUGGAAGGAUUUUUUUGGUUGGGGAUGGACUCGCGGCCUAUCAGCUUGUUGGUGAGGUAGUGGCUCACCAAGGCUUCGACGGGUAGCCGGCCUGGGGGGGGGACCGGCCACAUUGGGACUGAGAUACGGCCCAAACUCCUACGGGAGGCAGCAGUGGGGAAUAUUGCCCAAUGGACGGAAGUCUGAUGCAGCAACGCCGCGUGCGGGAUGACGGCCUUCGGGUUGUAAACCGCUUUCCAUUGUGACGAAGCUUUUUGUGACGGUAGCAGUAGAAGAAGCACCGGCUAACUACGUG